This 22-nucleotide non-coding RNA is filed under the name Eisenia fetida (common brandling worm). RNAcentral also lists the same sequence under 1 other name. Lineage: Eukaryota; Metazoa; Annelida; Clitellata; Crassiclitellata; Lumbricidae. The record is from RNAcentral.
UGGACGGAGAACUGAUAAGGGG